Zalophus californianus (California sea lion) is the source of this 335-nucleotide long non-coding RNA. RefSeq lists it as uncharacterized. The transcript is spliced from 3 exons. Lineage: Eukaryota; Metazoa; Chordata; Mammalia; Carnivora; Otariidae. The record is from RefSeq and is a predicted model, not a curated record.
AAUACGUUUUGUAAUUUGAAUAUGCUCCAUUACGCAAGACUUUGUGUCACCCAGACCGUUGCGUAAGAACGAUGGUGUUACCUGCCAAGCGUGAAACAGUUUUUCACACUUACUACAAGGGGCCAGUUCCAACUAAUGGAGUCAGCCGCUACCAGAAGUAAGAUUAUGAAUUCCCUACAGCCUGGCUCAAAGGUGGAGAGGUUCAUGAUGUGGACAGGCUGUGCAGCCCCUGACUGUGGCUGGAACUGGUACCUGGGGUCAGAUGACACCAAAGCAGGAGACAGCUAAGAAAGGCCAGCCCUCCUGGAUACAGACUCCCCUUUCCCUCCCUGCAG